GUACAAAUGAUGUGAACACAACAGUAUGAGAAAAUCAAUGAUACUGUAAACGCUUUCUGAUGUA
Small nucleolar RNA from Chelonoidis abingdonii (Abingdon island giant tortoise), 64 nucleotides. The record is from Ensembl. NCBI's taxonomy places the organism in Eukaryota, Metazoa, Chordata, Testudines, Testudinidae.